This 765-nucleotide ribosomal RNA is filed under the name uncultured archaeon. RNAcentral describes it as "bacterial SSU rRNA". It matches the Rfam family "Archaeal small subunit ribosomal RNA", at positions 112 to 879 of the family's 1478-position model. The record is from RNAcentral.
UCCUGGGGGACGGGAUAACCUCGGGAACUGAGAAUAAUGCCCGAUAGAACAUUAUGCCUGGAAUGGUUUAUGUUUCAAAUGAUUUAUCGCCAUAGGAUGGGACUGCGGCCUAUCAGUUUGUUGGUGAGGUAAUGGCCCACCAAGACUAUUACAGGUACGGGCUCUGAGAGGAGUGGCCCGGAGAUGGGUACUGAGACACGGACCCAGGCCCUAUGGGGCGCAGCAGGCGAGAAAACUUUGCAAUGUGCGAAAGCACGACAAGGUUAAUCCGAGUGGUUUCUGCUAAAGAAACCUUUUGCCAGUCCUAGAAACACUGGUGAAUAAGGGGUGGGCAAGUUCUGGUGUCAGCCGCCGCGGUAAAACCAGCACCUCAAGUGGUCAGGAUGAUUAUUGGGCCUAAAGCAUCCGUAGCUCGUUUUGUAAGUUUUCGGUUAAAUCCAUGCGCUUAACGUAUGGGCUGCCGGGAAUACUGCAUAACUAGGAAGUGGGAGAGGUAGACGGUACUCGGUAGGAAGGGGUAAAAUCCUUUGAUCUAUUGAUGACCACCUGUGGCGAAGGCGGUCUACCAGAACACGUUCGACGGUGAGGGAUGAAAGCUGGGGGAGCAAACCGGAUUAGAUACCCGGGUAGUCCCAGCUGUAAACUAUGCAAACUCAGUGAUGCAUUGGCUUGUGGCCAAUGCAGUGCUGCAGGGAAGCCGUUAAGUUUGCCGCCUGGGAAGUACGUACGCAAGUAUGAAACUUAAAGGAAUUGGCGGGGGAGCAC